This 155-nucleotide ribosomal RNA is filed under the name uncultured freshwater diatom. RNAcentral's name for it is "5.8S ribosomal RNA". It matches the Rfam family "5.8S ribosomal RNA". From Rfam's summary of the family: 5.8S ribosomal RNA (5.8S rRNA) is a component of the large subunit of the eukaryotic ribosome. It is transcribed by RNA polymerase I as part of the 45S precursor that also contains 18S and 28S rRNA. Functionally, it is thought that 5.8S rRNA may be involved in ribosome translocation. The record is from RNAcentral. Lineage: Eukaryota; Bacillariophyta.
ACAACUUUCAGCAAUGGAUGUCUAGGCUCUCACAACGAUGAAGAACGCAGCGAAAUGCGAUACGUCAUGCGAAUUGCAAUACCUCGUGAAUCAUCAAAAUUUUGAACGCAUAUUGCGCUGUUUGGGAAUUCCUGGCAGCAUGUUUGUCUGAGUGU